UGAGUAACACGUAUCCAACCUGCCGUCUACUCUCGGACAGCCUUCUGAAAGGAAGAUUAAUACAAGAUGGCAUCAUGAGUUCACAUGUUCACAUGAUUAAAGGUAUUCCGGUAGACGAUGGGGAUGCGUUCCAUUAGAUAGUAGGCGGGGUAACGGCCCACCUAGUCUUCGAUGGAUAGGGGUUCUGAGAGGAAGGUCCCCCACAUUGGAACUGAGACACGGUCCAA
This 227-nucleotide ribosomal RNA is filed under the name uncultured bacterium. Its description in RNAcentral is "partial 16S ribosomal RNA". It matches the Rfam family "Bacterial small subunit ribosomal RNA", at positions 107 to 334 of the family's 1533-position model. The record is from RNAcentral.